RNAcentral lists this ribosomal RNA (499 nucleotides) under uncultured bacterium. RNAcentral's name for it is "partial 16S ribosomal RNA". It matches the Rfam family "Bacterial small subunit ribosomal RNA", at positions 28 to 507 of the family's 1533-position model. The record is from RNAcentral.
GAUGAACGCUGGCGGCGUGCCUAAUACAUGCAAGCCGAGCGAACAGACGAGAGUGCUUGCCCUCUCUGACGUUAGCGGCGGACGGGUGAGUAACACGUGGGUAACCUACCUAUAAGACUGGGAUAACUUCGGGAAACCGGAGCUAAUACCGGAUAAUAUUUAGCUUCGCAUGAAGCAAUAGUGAAAGACGGUUCUGCUGUCACUUAUAGAUGGACCCGCGGUGUAUUAGCUAGUUGGUGAGGUAACGGCUCACCAAGGCAACGAUACAUAGCCGACCUGAGAGGGUGAUCGGCCACACUGGGACUGAGACACGGCCCAGACUCCUACGGGAGGCAGCAGUAGGGAAUCUUCCGCAAUGGACGAAAGUCUGACGGAGCAAUGCCGCGUGAGUGAAGAAGGUUUUCGGAUCGUAAAACUCUGUUGUAAGGGAAGAACAAGUACGUUAGUAACUGAACGUACCUUGACGGUACCUUACCAGAAAGCCACGGCUAACUACGUG